Molecule: long non-coding RNA, 234 nt
Filed under: Lathyrus oleraceus (garden pea)
Lineage: Eukaryota; Viridiplantae; Streptophyta; Magnoliopsida; Fabales; Fabaceae
Description: Pisum sativum (pea) long non-coding RNA (PSAT_LNC032253)
Source: RNAcentral
UUAGUGUUUCCUAGGGAACGAUAACUGCCCACUUAGUCAGUGGUGGACCGUUGAAUUCCUACUUCCUAGGAAGACAUGGAUUAACGUGUUGACCCUGACUUCUCUCUGACUGAGGAACAUCAUUUCUUAUGUUUAUCAAGAAUGGGUGAGUAGAGAGCACUCAGGGCUAUGUGGUGUAACACCCUGAUUCUAGUAUAUUUAUUUUUAAUUAAAUUAAAAUUAAUUUUUAUUUAA